This 253-nucleotide ribosomal RNA is filed under the name uncultured bacterium. Its description in RNAcentral is "partial 16S ribosomal RNA". It matches the Rfam family "Bacterial small subunit ribosomal RNA", at positions 524 to 776 of the family's 1533-position model. The record is from RNAcentral.
UACGUAGGGUGCAAGCGUUGUCCGGAAUUAUUGGGCGUAAAGAGCUCGUAGGCGGCCUGUCGCGUCGGCUGUGAAAACCUGGGGCUCAACCCCGGGCCUGCAGCCGAUACGGGCAAGCUAGAAUUCGGUAGGGGAGACUGGAAUUCCUGGUGUAGCGGUGAAAUGCGUAGAGAUCGGGAGGAACACCAGAGGCGAAGGCGGCGACCUGGACAGGUACUGACACUCAACUACGAAAGCGUGGGGAGCAAACAGG